Molecule: ribosomal RNA, 627 nt
Filed under: uncultured Actinomycetes bacterium
Lineage: Bacteria; Bacillati; Actinomycetota; Actinomycetes
Description: bacterial SSU rRNA
Rfam family: Bacterial small subunit ribosomal RNA
Source: RNAcentral
UCAGCUUGUUGGUGGGGUGAUGGCCUACCAAGGCGAUGACGGGUAGCCGGCCUGAGAGGGCGACCGGCCACACUGGGACUGAGACACGGCCCAGACUCCUGCGGGAGGCAGCAGUGGGGAAUAUUGCGCAAUGGGCGGAAGCCUGACGCAGCGACGCCGCGUGGGGGAUGACGGCCUUCGGGUUGUAAACCUCUUUUACCACUCACGAAGGCUCCCAGUGUUCUGGGGGUUGACGGUAGGUGGUGAAUAAGGACCGGCUAACUACGUGCCAGCAGCCGCGGUAAUACGUAGGGUCCGAGCGUUGUCCGGAAUUAUUGGGCGUAAAGAGCUCGUAGGCGGCCUGUCGCGUCUGCUGUGAAAGUCCGGGGCUUAACUUCGGGUGUGCAGUGGAUACGGGCAGGCUUGAGGUAGGUAGGGGAGACUGGAAUUCCUGGUGUAGCGGUGAAAUGCGCAGAUAUCAGGAGGAACACCGGUGGCGAAGGCGGGUCUCUGGGCCUUACCUGACGCUGAGGAGCGAAAGCGUGGGGAGCGAACAGGAUUAGAUACCCUGGUAGUCCACGCCGUAAACGUUGGGCGCUAGGUGUGGGGACUUUCCACGGUUUCCGUGCCGUAGCUAACGCAUUAAGC